ACGGUGGUUGGUUUAACUGGAAUUGGCAUUGGAUAGGGCAAGGUUUUUUCUCCGACAUAAAGGAAAUUUGAGAAGAUGUAAGACAAAAGGAGGGUCUGAGGAGCAUCUUUCACAACAGCUUAGAAAAUAUCCCCAGCCACUGGGGUGAAGAGGACGUGUAACUGAAGUUCCUGUAUUCUGGGGCAUCCCAGCGAGACCCUUCCAUCAAGGGACAAGGCCACUAGAGGACACCCAGGAGAGAACACCUGCCCUGGGGAUUUCACUCGCUCCCCUCCUCCUGCCCUCCUUUGUUCACUCCCUCACUCUACUCACGAGCCCCUCGGAAGUGCAGGGCUCCAUUGCAGAGAUGAGGGCACAGCCUGCCACAGUCUCCUGGCAGACGUCUCUGCACACACUUGUCAAACAUCUGAGAAGAGCACAGAGAAGCUCCCACAUGGUUCUGAUCAAGGACAGGAGGGAAACAUAUUUUCGAUGCGUGUACAGUAAAUGGUUGUGCUGGUUUAAAACAUGUAUUCAUAUAUCUUUAGAUGCAAGGCAGCCAUUGGUUAAA
Molecule: long non-coding RNA, 550 nt
Organism: Hypomesus transpacificus
Lineage: Eukaryota; Metazoa; Chordata; Actinopteri; Osmeriformes; Osmeridae
Exons: 4
Source: RefSeq, a predicted model, not a curated record